AGAGAGAGAAAGAGAGACGAUAAAGAACAAAUUUAUCUAAUUCAAAGAAGAUUUAUACGACCUGUGUGCGAAUACGGUCGAACAGUCGACUCGAUUUAAUUCGGUAGCAUGGAACAACAAGAGGAAGAAAGAAAAAGAAAAAAGAAUAGAGAGAGAGAGAGAGAGAGAGAGAGAGAGAGAGAGAGGGAGAAACAACUCGUUCAAUUUGAUUUCGAUAUCAUGAUAAGGUCUACUUCCAUUCGAUAUAAUGAAAAAUCGAAAUAUAAAACAUAAAAUAAAAUAAAAUAAAAUAAA
Molecule: long non-coding RNA, 294 nt
Organism: Vespa mandarinia (Asian giant hornet)
Lineage: Eukaryota; Metazoa; Arthropoda; Insecta; Hymenoptera; Vespidae
Source: RefSeq, a predicted model, not a curated record